GGGGUUGUGGCUCAGUGGUGGAGCGUUUGCCUGGCACAUACGAGGCCCUGAGUUCAAUCCUCAGCACCACA
Molecule: transfer RNA, 71 nt
Filed under: Marmota monax (woodchuck)
Lineage: Eukaryota; Metazoa; Chordata; Mammalia; Rodentia; Sciuridae
Description: tRNA.Ala
Rfam family: tRNA
About the family: Transfer RNA (tRNA) molecules are approximately 80 nucleotides in length. Their secondary structure includes four short double-helical elements and three loops (D, anti-codon, and T loops).
Source: RNAcentral